This is a long non-coding RNA of Bradysia coprophila, 453 nucleotides long. NCBI's taxonomy places the organism in Eukaryota, Metazoa, Arthropoda, Insecta, Diptera, Sciaridae. The record is from RefSeq and is a predicted model, not a curated record.
UGUACGUACAGAGUAUAACAGUGAUGUGGAUGAAUCCAACUUAUGCGCCAACAAUUCUAAAGCAACCCUCUGUACUUUCGAUAUUGGUGACCCAUUGAUUUCUAUACGAGGAGAGUACUUAUGGGGAAUAGCGACUGAUGAAUAUGCGUGUGCAGGCAGUAUGUCGACGUAGAGUCGAAUGGACAAUCCGUACUUUUAAUUAAACUUGAAUUUGUCUUGCCUUUUCCAUAGAAUCCUCCGAUGUAUUUACCCGAGUAGACUACCACAUGGACUGGAUUCUCAGAACAAUUGAUAAAAAUUCGUCAACACGUCACAAACAACAGGCAAUCAUAAUGGGAACAGCAAUUAUUGUACUUUGGAUAAUUGGACGUAAUUCAUUAACGGAUAAGGUGUGGCAUAUGAAGUCCAAAUUUUCAGUAAAAACGUUCUUUGAACACAUACUCUUUCGAGAUU